AUAAAGGUUCCAUCAGGAUCAAAAGAGAAGCCCGGUCAGAAGCCGGCACGGUCCCGCCGCUGUAAAGAGGAGAAUGCUUCAUAUAUCCCACUGGGAAACCGGGAAGGGGAAGCUGACGAUGAACCUAAGUCAGAAGAACUGCCUUUAUGAG
Molecule: non-coding RNA, 151 nt
Filed under: uncultured Dialister sp.
Lineage: Bacteria; Bacillati; Bacillota; Negativicutes; Veillonellales; Veillonellaceae
Source: RNAcentral